GGUUCGGCCUCCGGCCGAACGGCUCAUUAACACGUAGAUAACNUUGCCCUUAGGUGGAGGAUACCCUCGGGAAACUGAAAUAAUACUCCAUAGAUUUAGAAUGCUGGAAUGCUUUUAAAUUGAAAGAUCUAUCGCCUAAGGAUAAGUCUGCGGACUAUCAGGCCGUAGUUAGGGUAAAUACCUGACUAGCCUACGACGGAUACGGGUUGUGAGAGCACUAGCCCGGAGAUGAUAUCUGAGACACGAUAUCAGGCCCUACGGGGUGCAGCAGGCGCGAAAACUUCGCACUGUGCGAAAGCACGACGAGGGAACCCCAAGUGCUGGCUCGUAAGAGUCAGCUGUUUCUUGUCUAAAAAACAGAGAGAGUAGAGCUGGGUAAGACGGGUGCCAGCCGCCGCGGUAAUACCUGCAGCUCACGUGGUGGCCGCUAUUAUUGGGCCUAACGUCCGUACCCGGUUCUAUAAUGCCUGCGCUAAAAUCGUACGGCCUUACCGUACGACUUCCCGGGUUAACUGUUCAACUUGGGACCCGGG
This 533-nucleotide ribosomal RNA is filed under the name uncultured archaeon. RNAcentral's name for it is "bacterial SSU rRNA". It matches the Rfam family "Archaeal small subunit ribosomal RNA", at positions 66 to 604 of the family's 1478-position model. The record is from RNAcentral.